UAUGGGAUGGUGUAUGGUGCACAAAAGAAUUUGGAUCUUUAAGUGAUAGUUUAAUUUUAUCUUCUAUAG
Molecule: transfer RNA, 69 nt
Filed under: Nipponnemertes punctatula
Lineage: Eukaryota; Metazoa; Nemertea; Enopla; Monostilifera; Cratenemertidae
Description: tRNA-Gln
Source: RNAcentral